This 78-nucleotide transfer RNA is filed under the name Deltaproteobacteria bacterium. RNAcentral's name for it is "tRNA-Cys". It matches the Rfam family "tRNA". Rfam says of the family: Transfer RNA (tRNA) molecules are approximately 80 nucleotides in length. Their secondary structure includes four short double-helical elements and three loops (D, anti-codon, and T loops). Lineage: Bacteria; Pseudomonadati; Myxococcota; Myxococcia. The record is from RNAcentral.
GGCGGCAUAGCCAAGUUGGCCUAAGGCGACGGUCUGCAAAAUCGUUAUUCGGCGGUUCGAAUCCGCCUGCCGCCUCCA